CCCUUAGAUGUCCUGGGCCGCACGCGCGCUACACUGACAUGUUCAACAAGUUUCUCCUAGUUCGACAGGACUGGGAAAUCUUUGAACGCAUGUCGUGAUAGGGAUAGAUCAUUGCAAUUAUUGAUCUUGAACGAGGAAUUCCUAGUAAACGCGAGUCAUCAGCUCGCAUUGAUUACGUCCCUGCCCUUUGUACACACCGCCCGUCGCACCUACCGAUUGAAUGUUUCGGUGAAGAUUCCGGAUAGGACUGAUUUGAUUUAUUUCGUUUCUGACCUAAAAGCUAUCUAAACCUCAACAUUUAGAGGAAGGUGAAGUCGUAACA
RNAcentral lists this ribosomal RNA (322 nucleotides) under uncultured eukaryote. RNAcentral describes it as "partial 18S ribosomal RNA". It matches the Rfam family "Eukaryotic small subunit ribosomal RNA", at positions 1470 to 1796 of the family's 1831-position model. The record is from RNAcentral.